UACGUAGGGAGCAAGCGUUAUCCGGAUUUAUUGGGCGUAAAGCGUUCGUAGGCGGUUUGUUAAGUCUAAAAUUAAAGCCUGGGGCUCAACCUCAGUUCGUUUUAGAAACUGGCAGACUUGAGUGUGGUAGAGGCAAGUGGAAUUUCUAGUGUAGCGGUUAAAUGCGUAGAUAUUAGAAGGAACACCAGUGGCGAAGGCGGCUUGCUGGGCCAUUACUGACGCUGAGGAACGAAAGCGUGGGGAGCAAAUAGG
RNAcentral lists this ribosomal RNA (252 nucleotides) under uncultured bacterium. Its description in RNAcentral is "partial 16S ribosomal RNA". It matches the Rfam family "Bacterial small subunit ribosomal RNA", at positions 524 to 776 of the family's 1533-position model. The record is from RNAcentral.